UACACUUCUUAUCAUAAUUUCACUGAUAUAUCAAUUUAUCUACUUGAAUAUAGAAGAAAAUAGAUGCUAAUCCCUUUCCUUUGUUACUUUGCAUGUGAACUCUCUUCGUCUCUCAUAUGAGUCCAUCGGGACUUCCCUUUUGCAUUUUCGUUGGGUUGAAAUCUAACACUUUGUUCGAGUCAAUCUUGUCAAGAAUUGGAAGCUAAUAUACAGGGGGAAGAAGCUGAUAUACGACAAAGAGGCCCAAAACCAACAAAUGUUUUUCAAAAGAAGCUGAAAAAGGAAAUAAAAUUGGCCCAAUGUUUCUGGGCAGCAGAAGUUUAGGCACGAAAGGCCCAAACUCAUUCUCUCUCUCUCU
Molecule: long non-coding RNA, 358 nt
Filed under: Solanum tuberosum (potato)
Lineage: Eukaryota; Viridiplantae; Streptophyta; Magnoliopsida; Solanales; Solanaceae
Description: long non-coding RNA (STUB_LNC007573)
Source: RNAcentral